Long non-coding RNA from Carassius auratus (goldfish), 5126 nucleotides. NCBI's taxonomy places the organism in Eukaryota, Metazoa, Chordata, Actinopteri, Cypriniformes, Cyprinidae. The record is from Ensembl.
GCUCUGAAUGUGGAGGUGCAAACAGUGUCCUGAAAGUGAAUCUACAAGGACUACAGAACAAGUAAUAUUGAAAAAGAAGAACAACCAACAGGUAAUCAAAAGUAAAAUGGAAAGAACCUUUGCCUACAGAAGACAGGAAGUUGUUGGAAGAUAUGCCCUUCAUAGCAGAGUUCAAAAACAGAUGUCCAGCCCUGUUUUCUGAGAGCCAGGUAAAGUAUUAUUCAUCAUCUGUAUUUAAUUUAAAUACGUGGAAUUAAUGUCUAAAUACUGUAUUUGGGUAUAAAACAAAUGAGCCCAUAUUUAAUUGACAGGUUUGGAGGCAAUGUGGUAAGAAUCCAUGCAUGUGGUUGUUCUACUCUAUAUUACAAUGCACAUUACACAUACAUCCAUAUAAAUUGGUUACAGAUAAAUUGAACCACCAACUAAAAACAUUUAGCCAAAAGCAAACACAUGUUCCCUCUACACCAGGGUGUCACACUCAAGUUUCAGAGAGGGCAAAAAUUAAGAAAUGGUACUGAGUGCCAAACAGUCUUAUAGUGCUGUCUUAAUAUUAUUAUUAUUAUGAACACGCCAGCUCCACUUUUAAAGGCAAACUGGAUAUAAUUGUACCACGGCCAGAUGUAGCCCACAGAGUUUGAGUUUGACAUGCCUGCUCUACACCAUAUGUGAUCAUUUUAAAUAUAUUUGUUUUAACUUAAGAGACUCAUAGUGAAUUUGUGUUUUAAUACAGGUAAAUGCAGAAUUCACCCUCAUCACCACAGUCCCCCUGUUCUCAACCUUUAUGUCCCGACUGGAUCAUUACUCUAGCCAGCUAUUGAGGGUAUUCAAAAAGAAGGGGGGAACAGCAAGACAUGAUAUCGACGUAAUCAUUGCAGAAAUGGACAUGAAUCCCAGUGUUGAAGUACGACGGACAUGCAUCCUAAAGGCGUUGUGCGUCUACUUGAUUGAAAAGCCUGACAGCCUUAUUAAGGACUACUGGGCUACUGAGGAUACUGGUAUUGAUGCAAUGACGGAAAUGGAGAGACUGGCUUUGGGUGUCUACAUUGUUCGACAUGAUGGAGUAGAUGCUUCAGGUCCACCUGAGGAUGUUGCCGUCGUCAUUGAAGGCUGCACAGUGCUGCGAGAUCUGAGAGAGGUUGCAAAUGGAUGUGCAGUCCUGCUUGGCUUGAUCUACUGUUUAUCCCAAGGAGCUGCGAUACACUUUCGAAUUUCUUCAGAAAGUGUUUAUGGAAUUGGAUGGGAACAAGCUCUCCACUUAAGUGCAGGUCCUCAAAAACAAACUGCAUGAGUAAAAUCACCUGCACCAGACAAGACUGAACCUGGCUUUGGACACUUGAAUUGUGUUGACUUACUUUAUUUUUGGACUGCUGCUAGACAAAAUAAAGCUGUGAUCAAUGAUGGUUUGUAAUAAGCAGACAGGACUGCAGUUGGUCAUCGACUUGCUUGGGGAGGCUCAGUUCUUUGGAUUUUGGACUGCUUUGUUACGUAAAUAUUGCUGAUUUUCUAUUUCUCCUUUUGAUGAAAACUGUAAACAUUGUAUUUUUCAUAAAAAUGUUCUUGAUAAGUCAGCAUGUAUGUAAAGUCUGAACUUAGUAUGUUCUAACGGUGAAGUGAGAAUUUUCUGCAGCAUAAAUCUUGAUUGUAAACUUCAGUUAAUUUAACCUCCCUCCAUAUAGAAAACAAGGAUUUGCCUCUUUAGUUUUUAUUUCAGUAGGCAACACCUGUUAAGACAUUGUUGACGUCAAAUAUUGUUGAUUUAAUAUAAAGCUAUAAUGGGAUUGAACAUUAUCGGAUGGUGAAGAUUCACAAACAAGUUUUAUAUUUUUGAAUUAUUAUUUAUAUUUGUCUAUUGGCAUUUUAUACGUGGACUUAUGUUGGUUUCUUCAAUUGUAUUUGUACACUUUGUAUUCAUAUGUAAGUUUUGCUUACAUAUUUGUAAUAAUUUUAUCAGUCAUGAUAAUCCCAGAUAUAGUAAUGUACCUUGAAGGUCAACAUUAAUUUUUUGACUUAAUUAUAUUUCAAAACCAAAGGUGAAUAAAGUUAAAGUGACUCGAGUAGUUUUCUUUUUUAACCGAGCAAGUAUAAUCAACACAAAUGGAUAACAUUAGCAAAGCUUAAUUUUGUUUAAUAAAUUGAACUUAAUCAAGUUAUGUUAGUUCAAGCUAUAGUCAUUAAAUUCUAGACAAUAAUUUACAUUUAUUCAAAAUAAUUGUGUAAUGUCCCAUUUAAUUAACACCGUUAUGAAUGAUUUACUUAAAACAUUAUGUUACAAUUAAUUGUAUAUUACCUUUUCCAUUUAAGCAACUAAGUUUUGUGGGACCGGUUGACAUAACUUUAUUAAUUAAAUACAACAUUUCAUUUCUUAGAGUGUAUGCAAUGGUAUCAGCAGAAGGAUACAGCCAUGGUCUUGAUCGUCUUCAGUUUCAGUGCUACAAGUGAACCCACGUUUGAAGAUGGAUUUAAAGGCCGGACUGAACUGGACAGAACAGAAACACUGAAGGGAGUCCUGAAAAUCUCUGAUCUCAGUUCAUCAGACUCGGCUGUUUAUUACUGUGCUGUCAAAAGGCACAGUGCUGUAGUCUUUAUUACCUGCCUGACUAAAAACCAAGCCCCCAGACAAACAGGAAAUGCAAUACGUACAAAAGAGGAAUCUAACUUCUGUUUCUUUUUCUUUUUUUCAGAUUUUCUUUUUCAAAGAUUUUUGUACUUUCUGUCAGUUUUUAAUUGAAAACACAAUCAAAUAUAAGCUUUCCUCCAAAACUAGUAGACCUACCUAGACAACAUUUUAAGGCAUCAUGUAUGCUGGCCAAAUUUUACAGUAACAUAUCCUUCACAGAUAACACAAUACCAGGAUGCAUUGCGACAGUAUCUGUGAAACAUACAAGAUGAUGGAUGCAGUCGAGAGAAAUAUUUCCAAUAAAUACUUACAUUUCAUGCAACAAAAACAGUUUCAGUCAAAUCCACAGCAAAAUAUUCUGUUGCUGGGGGCUACAUUGUUAUUUCUUCCUCUAAUGAGGAAGGUUUUGGAACUAAUUUCACAGUGUCAAGUACAGAGACUAAUUAAUGGACCCUGAAAGUGGAUGUUAAUGAUGGGAUUGAUGCUGUGUAUCUGUGUGCUGCUAGUUUACACACACACAAAAAUAAUUGCUUUAACAAAAAAUGCAAUAAAAUCCUGCAAUCACACCUGCCUUAACCAUGAAUAAAUAAGCCCAUAUUUGUACAAACCAGUCAGCAGAACCUGACAACUUGCACAUUCAAAUGAAUUAAUCAUGUCACACUCCUCCCUUCCGCCCUUCCUCCCUUCUUCUCUGUCUAUACUAAAGACUCAUACAAUCUCUAUCAUCACAUUAUUUUUGUUGUGUGCGUAACCAGAGUAUUUGUAACGCUGUUGUAGAAGUAUGUUUAGAGCUGCAUAUGGACUGUGCAUUUAUUUCUUAUUAUACAUAGGUAAGAUGUCUUUUGAUAGUAACAUGAACAAAUUAUUAUAAUUUAUCAUUUUCGUUUAUGUUCUUUGCUUUGAAAGAGAACAUCUCUUAAAACAUUUUUGUAUUUUACAGGGAUGGUGAAAUGUGUGAAUGUUCAACAGAACCCAACACCCAUAUUAGCCAGCGCGAAGAAUAUAACAGACAUAAAUUGUAGUUAUGAUGACAGUAACAAGCCAAACAUGUUAUGGUAUCAGCAGAAGGAUACAGCCAUGGUCUUGAUCGUGUUAAGUUACAGUGCUACAAGCAGGGCCGCGGGAAGUAAUUUUGAACAGGGGGUGCUGUGAAAUUUUUUUUUUUUUUUUUUUUUUUUUUUUUGACAAAAAACCUAUGAGCCUAUAUAGGCCUAUUUAAAAUACAUUUUAAAAAUAAAUACAUUGAGAUUUACUACUUUUAUUGUCAUAUACACUUCAGUGCACAGCCAGCCAGGGUCUGAAACGUACAGACAUCAGUUCUCAGAUAUGCGCAAUGGGUUAUUAAUCUGAAGCAGAAGCAGAAUCAGAAAUAAUAGUUUAAUAAUCGAAAGAAAACUAAAUAAUUACUUUCAUUACAAUUUCAGAUAGCCUAUACAUACAUGCAACAUAUUAAGAUACAACAAAUAAUAUUACAACAAAAUAUAAUAUUAAUCAAACUUCACAAUAACGCUAAAACAAUGCAAUCGAUUUGGUCAGCUGGCUUGAGUCACUGCACGUUUAUGUCACACGCAACUCUAUUAACUCCAAAAUCUUUUUACGCACACCACAAGGAAAUAAUCUCUGACUAUUUAAGCAAUUUGUUUAUUGAACAGUUCUCCACAUCCAUUACGCAAAGAACACACGCACAGUAUAAAGCUUUCAUCUCCAACCUUUUUACACAAACCACAAGGAAAUAAUCUCCGACUAUUUAAACUUUAUUUUAACAUUUCUCCACAAUAAUUACGCAAGGAACACACGAACGAAAUAAUACUCUCCAUCUCCAUCCCCACCACCUUACAAAAAUACUAUAAUAGUGUACUACUUACAAUUGCUUGGCUAGUCAAAGCUGAUCCCACACUUGUUGCCAAAAAAAUAAAUGUUACAAGCGCGGCAGCACCAUGCUCUUACCUGAGCUACAUGUAGGCGGGGUGCCCUGGACUGGUUACAGGUGUCCAAAUGUCGAGGUGCGCUGUAUUAUAUAAAGAUGGAUGUAUUCUGCAUGGAACGAGCAAAAUAUUUUAAUAGGCCUACAUUUUUUUUUAUCUCCCUCUCGUCACUAGGGGGUGCUGCAGCACCCCCAGCACCCCCACUUCCCGCGGCCAUGGCUACAAGUGACCCCACCUAUGAGGAUGGAUUUAAAGACCGGUUUGAACUGAAAAGAACAGAAACACUGAAGGGAGUUCUGAAAAUCUCUGAUCUCAGUUCAUCAGACUCGGCUGUUUAUUACUGUGCUGUCAGUAUGCACAGUGCUGUAGUCUUUAUUACCUGCCUGACUAAAAACCAAACCACCAGACAAACAGGAAAUGCACAAAAAAGCCAAUCUAAUGUUCAUGAGGUUCAAAUGUGACACUAAUGAAAAGGCUUGUUACAGCAUUUAAUUUCUACAUCAAAUAAUAUUUUUGUACAGUUUUUAAUAGAAAACACAAUCAGAUAUAAGUGUUGCUCCCAAACUGAGUACAGGAUCUACCCA